Molecule: ribosomal RNA, 466 nt
Filed under: uncultured bacterium
Lineage: Bacteria
Description: bacterial SSU rRNA
Rfam family: Bacterial small subunit ribosomal RNA
Source: RNAcentral
GCCCAGACUCCUACGGGAGGCAGCAGUGAGGAAUAUUGGUCAAUGGGCGGAAGCCUGAACCAGCCAAGUCGCGUGAGGGAUUAAGGCCCUGCGGGUCGUAAACCUCUUUUGCCGGGGAGCAAGCGUGCGUUCGUGAACGCGCGUCGAGAGUACCCGGAGAAAAAGCAUCGGCUAACUCCGUGCCAGCAGCCGCGGUAAUACGGAGGAUGCGAGCGUUAUCCGGAUUUAUUGGGUUUAAAGGGUGCGUAGGCGGGAUGCCAGGUCAGCGGUAAAAAUGCGGUGCUCAACGCCGUCGAGCCGUUGAAACUGGCGUUCUUGAGUGGGCGAGAAGUAUGCGGAAUGCGUGGUGUAGCGGUGAAAUGCAUAGAUAUCACGCAGAACUCCGAUUGCGAAGGCAGCAUACCGGCGCCCUACUGACGCUGAGGCACGAAAGCGUGGGUAUCGAACAGGAUUAGAUCCCCCAGUA